GUCCUCAUGUUUCUAUUUGAGGUUUGGCCUGCCCGGUGAUUUUAAUUUAACGGCCGCGGUAUAUUGACCGUGCAAAGGUAGCAUAAUCAUUAGUCUUUUAAUAGGAGGCUGGAAUGAAAGGUUUAACGAAAAAUUAGCUGUCUCAGUUAUAAAUUUGAAUUUAACUUUUAAGUUAAAAGGCUUAAAUUUUUUUGUAGGACGAGAAGACCCUAUAGAGCUUUACAUUUAAUGUUUUGUUAUAUUAAUUUAGAUUAAUACUUUUAAUUAACUUUAAAAAAUGUUUUGUUGGGGUGACAAGAAAUAUAUAUUUAACUUUUAUUAUUAUAUUUUCAUUAAUUUAUGUUUAUUGGAUCCAAAAUUUUUGAUCAUUAGAAUAAGUUACCUUAGGGAUAACAGCGUAAUCUUCCCUCAGAGUUCAAAUUUACGGGAAGGGUUGCGACCUCGAUGUUGGAUUAAGAUGGCAAUUGGGUGCAGUAGCUCAAUUUGUAGGUCUGUUCGACCUUUAAAUUCUU
RNAcentral lists this ribosomal RNA (512 nucleotides) under Paracercion calamorum. Its description in RNAcentral is "partial 16S rRNA". It matches the Rfam family "Bacterial large subunit ribosomal RNA", at positions 1831 to 2597 of the family's 2925-position model. The record is from RNAcentral. Lineage: Eukaryota; Metazoa; Arthropoda; Insecta; Odonata; Coenagrionidae.